UACGUAGGGAGCGAGCGUUGUCCGGAUUUAUUGGGCGUAAAGGGCUUGUAGGUGGCUUGUCGCGUCUGCCGUGAAAUUCCGCAGCUUAACUGUGGUAGUGCGGUGGGUACGGGCAGGCUUGAGUGUGGUAGGGGAGACUGGAAUUCCUGGUGUAGCGGUGGAAUGCGCAGAUAUCAGGAGGAACACCGGUGGCGAAGGCGGGUCUCUGGGCCAUUACUGACGCUGAGGAGCGAAAGCGUGGGGAGCGAACAGGAUUAGAUACCCUGGUAGUCCACGCUGUAAACGUUGGGAACUAGGUGUGGGGCCUGUCAUGGGUUCUGCGCCGGCGCUAACGCAUUAAGUUCCCCGCCUGGGGAGUACGGCCGCAAGGCUAAA
This 375-nucleotide ribosomal RNA is filed under the name uncultured bacterium. RNAcentral describes it as "bacterial SSU rRNA". It matches the Rfam family "Bacterial small subunit ribosomal RNA", at positions 524 to 898 of the family's 1533-position model. The record is from RNAcentral.